Molecule: RNA transcript, 1780 nt
Organism: Vitis vinifera (wine grape)
Lineage: Eukaryota; Viridiplantae; Streptophyta; Magnoliopsida; Vitales; Vitaceae
Gene name: primary amine oxidase 1
Exons: 3
Source: RefSeq, a predicted model, not a curated record
AUGCAAAUUAUAGAGUACAUAGAUAGAUUUAAAACUGUAGUGCCUCCGGCCAAGGGCUCCGAUUAUCAAUCAACAAAGCAGAAGCCUUCUUCCUUUCCAUGUAAUGAAACAGAGCGCGGGUUCACCAUGGAAGGUCACAAGGUUAGAUGGGGUAAUUGGAUGUUCCAUGUAGGGUUCAAUGCUCGGGCGGGUGUGAUUAUAUCCACAGCUUCUGUAUAUGAUGCAAAACAAAAGAGGUUCCGGCGUGUGCUAUACAGAGGGCAUGUCUCCGAGACUUUUGUCCCGUACAUGGAUCCUACAAGUGAAUGGUAUUUCAGGACUUUCAUGGACAUGGGCGAAUACGGGUUUGGUCGAUCUGCUGACACCCUUGAGCCACUGGCCGACUGUCCGGGAAAUGCAGUGUAUAUGGAUGGGUACAUGGCUGGGGCAGACGGGCGGCCACAAAAGGUUGACAGAGCGAUAUGCAUUUUUGAGCGGCAUUCAGGGGAUGUUGCUUGGAGACAUACUGAAAUUGGUGUCCCUGGACGAACGGUAAGGUGGUUUAAGUGUCUUUCGGUUUAGGGAAAAUGUGAUAUGGAUUAUUGAAUGGUUUUUGCAGAUAAGAAGAGUGGAACCAGAAGUGAAUUUGGUGGUCAGGAUGGUGGCUACUGUUGGGAAUUAUGAUUAUGUCCUUGAUUGGGAGUUCCAACAAAGUGGGUCAAUCAAAGUAGGGGUUGGGCUCACUGGUGUUCUGGAAAUGAAGGCCACAUCAUACACAAAUACAGAUCAGAUACGGAAGGACGUGUUUGGUACGUUACUGGCAGAUGAUAUCGUUGCCGUGAACCAUGACCACUUUCUCACCUACUAUCUCGACCUUGAUGUUGACGGAAUGGAUAACUCUUUCAUCAAAGCUAAGUUAGGAACAAGAAAGACAACAAGCGUUGGCAUCAAAUCUCCAAGGAAGAGUUACUGGUCGGUAGUCAAGAAAAUGGCCAAGACGGAAGCUGAGGGUAGGAUUCGAUUGGGCUCGAAACCAGCGGAGUUGUUAGUAGUGAAUACCAAUAAAAAGACAAAAACAGGGAAUUAUGUGGGUUACCGAUUGAUUGCUGGACAACCGGUUUACUCCCUCUUAUCCGAUGACGAUUAUCCCCAAAUUCGUGUGGCUUACACCAAGUAUCAAAUGUGGGUGACUGCUUAUAACAAGUCAGAGAGGUGGGCUGGUGGGUUUUAUGCUGAUAGGAGUCGAGGAGAUGAUGAGCUGGCUGUUUGGAGCAACAGGAAUAGAAGCAUCGCAAACAAAGAUGUAGUAGUAUGGUACACAGUAGGGUUCCAUCACAUUCCCUACCAGGAAGAUUACCCGGCAAUGCCCACACUUCACGACGGAUUCCAACUCCGGCCGGCUAACUUUUUUGAACGCAACCCAUUGCUCCGAUGAUUUUCUUCAACAAAGUUGUAGUAGAGCUGUGAUGGGCCUGCUCUAUGUUGUAUUUUCAACUGACCACGAUUCAAGGCCUGGUCAUAUCAGGGGGCUCUUACCCAGUUCUGGGUCAGCAACAAAUUGGGCUUCAGUUGAUUCACUCCUUCAUCUAGAUGAUGAUACUAGUCUCAUUUAAGUAUUAGUUAAUUUUAAAACUGAUGCUACAAAAAUGGAAUUCUUAAAUUAGUUAACUUUAUAAAUUGAUGUCACAAAAAUGUAAUUCUUAUAUUAAAAUGUUUAUCCAAGAAUGGAAUUCUUAUAAAUAUAUUGUAUGAUAUGUUGUGGAGAAGAAUUAAAUAUUUUUAGAUUUUGAAUAUUAGAACA